Long non-coding RNA from Alosa alosa (allis shad), 471 nucleotides. RefSeq lists it as uncharacterized. The record is from RefSeq and is a predicted model, not a curated record. The transcript is spliced from 3 exons. Lineage: Eukaryota; Metazoa; Chordata; Actinopteri; Clupeiformes; Clupeidae.
UCAAAGACACCUAGCAGUAGACUCCGGACAGACUCCGCCUUCAAACUGGCAAAUCCGUGUAACUGUCACCUCUGUUUUACUGUCGUGAUGGAGACAUUGACCCGGAUCAGACACCAGGGGGCGGGAAGCACAGUCACAACUGAUACGGCCAGCCGUCGUGAAACAGAAGCGCGAAUUUUUAGUUCUAGGAGUUCAACUGCCUUACUGCUGCCAGAGCUGAGUUAGACAUUAACGGAAGCGGUUGGUGAACACUAGAGCUAGUGAAAAGAAGAGUUCGUUUGAUUUGUUUCAGCCCCAGGACCGAGGCGUUGAGGUGGCGUGACUGGCGUGAAUUCGGCGUGCCCUGUCUGCAAUCCUGCCUUUCAGUAAUGGGCAGUAAGGACAAGAUCCACCCACCACCCAGUGCAUGCGUGCAUAUGUGUGUGUAAUAAAUUGAGAGGGAAAGUGUGUGUGAUAAAUGAAAUUUAAUAA